AGGUAUUGCCUCAGUACGGCGAGUGAAGCGGCAAAAGCUCAAAUUUGAAAUCUAGCACUUUCAGUGUUCGAGUUGUAAUUUGAAGAAGGUAACUUUGGUUUUGGCUCUUGUCUAUGUUCCUUGGAACAGGACGUCACAGAGGGUGAGAAUCCCGUGCGAUGAGAUGCCCAAUUCCAUGUAAAGUGCUUUCGAAGAGUCGAGUUGUUUGGGAAUGCAGCUCUAAGUGGGUGGUAAAUUCCAUCUAAAGCUAAAUAUUGGCGAGAGACCGAUAGCGAACAAGUACAGUGAUGGAAAGAUGAAAAGAACUUUGAAAAGAGAGUGAAAAAGUACGUGAAAUUGUUGAAAGGGAAGGGCUUGAGAUCAGACUUGGUAUUUUGCGUUCCCUUCCUUUUUGGUUGGGUUCCUCGCAGUUUACUGGGCCAGCAUCGGUUUGGAUGGUAGGAUAAUGACAUUGGAAUGUAGCUUUACUUCGGUGAAGUGUUAUAGACUUUGUUGAUACUGCCUAUCUAGACCGAGGACUGCGUCUUUGAC
This 531-nucleotide ribosomal RNA is filed under the name Dujonia zeylanoides. Its description in RNAcentral is "eukaryotic LSU rRNA". It matches the Rfam family "Eukaryotic large subunit ribosomal RNA", at positions 70 to 607 of the family's 3401-position model. The record is from RNAcentral. Lineage: Eukaryota; Fungi; Ascomycota; Pichiomycetes; Serinales; Debaryomycetaceae.